GGGGGCGACAUGGUUUCGACGAGGAUUACAAAACUCAAGGUGCAUGCCGAGGUGUCAGCGAACCUCGUAAACACUAGCUGAAAAAACUUAGUUGCAAACGAUAACAACUACGCUUUAGCCGCUUAGGCUAACUGUUGCUGCCGAGCGUCACCGGUAGGUAGUUAACAGUCAUUCACGGAGACUCGCGGGUAAGGAUGUUUGUUCCCCAACCGUUAAAACUAAACAAACUCGUUUCUAGCAUCCUGUUAGUCGGAUCUGUUAGAGAUUAAGAUAUAGACUAACUAAGCAUGUAGUACCAAGAGCAGCGGAUUCGCGGACGGGGGUUCGAUCCCCCCCGCCUCCACCA
This 346-nucleotide transfer-messenger RNA is filed under the name Gammaproteobacteria bacterium. It matches the Rfam family "transfer-messenger RNA". From Rfam's summary of the family: Bacterial tmRNA, also known as 10Sa RNA or SsrA, is named for its dual tRNA and mRNA-like properties. Its role is to liberate the mRNA from a stalled ribosome. RNAcentral also lists the same sequence under 3 other names. The record is from RNAcentral. Lineage: Bacteria; Pseudomonadati; Pseudomonadota; Gammaproteobacteria.